This 389-nucleotide unclassified non-coding RNA is filed under the name soil metagenome. RNAcentral describes it as "partial contains 5.8S ribosomal RNA, internal transcribed spacer 2, and large subunit ribosomal RNA". The stretch from base 1 to 120 matches the Rfam family "5.8S ribosomal RNA", at positions 35 to 154 of the family's 154-position model. The record is from RNAcentral.
GAUGAAGAACGUAGCGAAAUGCGAUAAGUAGUGUGAAUUGCAGAAUUCAGUGAAUCAUCGAAUCUUUGAACGCACAUUGCGCCUUCCGGUAUUCCGGGAGGCAUGCCUGUCCGAACGUCAUCAAGCCUCUCGCCCGCUUCUUUUGCUUGAAAAGUGGCAAGGGCGGCACAUGGCGAAUGGCUGCCUCAGAGCGGCCAUCGCCGAAAUCCAUUGGCAGACCCUCCAUGGCUGUGAUUGUGAUAAGAUUUUACUUACAAUUGCCAGACUGGUAGGCGCCUUGCCGAAAGCAGCCGGGCGGUCCUCCACGGGACCGAACGCUAUACCACAUCUUUUGACUUCGGAUCAGGUAGGGAUACCCGCUGAACUUAAGCAUAUCAAUAAGCGGAGGA